Cajanus cajan (pigeon pea) is the source of this 911-nucleotide non-coding RNA. The record is from RefSeq and is a predicted model, not a curated record. Lineage: Eukaryota; Viridiplantae; Streptophyta; Magnoliopsida; Fabales; Fabaceae.
GAUAAAUUAAACAUUUUUUAUUAUUAUUUCCAUUUUCUGAUAUUUGAAAAACAGAACUAAACAAAACAUGUUUUUAAGUUUCAAAAAUGGAAAAUGAAAAUAGAAAAUAUUUUUUUAAACCAAACGGCCUUAGAGUUGAGCAGAGGAGAACAACUUUGGUAGCAUCUAUACUUCUGUAAGUUUGUUUCAUGAGCAAUUAAUCCAGGAUAUCCGGCUGAGGAGAGAGCAUAGACUGAGGCCUUGAUGGAAGAAGAAAUUACGCGAUGGAGAACAAAGUGGGGAGAGACGAUUAAAGUCACUGAAGAUUCUGCCACUGAAGAUUUUGCAAACAGACGAAAUGUUGAAGGUGAUGUGCCUUAAUGACAGGUUCAAAAGUGAUCGGCGCGGAGGAGUAAGGUUCUGGAUUGGUUGUUUUGAAGGUGUAGGGUAACCUGGCAGUGUAAGAGCGCUCAUAUUUUGUGUAUUAGGAACUCUUGAUUUUAAGUGGGAAUGGUGUUAUUGGACUGCUAGGUUAGGGUCAUUAUCACUCUGUUCUGUUCUAUAUAUUUGGUUUGGGGGUAUGCUAUAUGAUGAUUCUAUAUCUUUCCUGAUAGGAAUAGGCUGUUUGUAUGUGUUUCCGAAGAACUUAUGUUACUUGGUUCUCAACGGGAAACAGUAUAUGGGACAACAUGGUGAUGUUUUUAUCACAUCUGCUUCUUGUUAUGGAGAAUUAUGCUGAUUUUUUAUUUUUGCUCCAUGAUAAAUUAAUUGAACAAGUAUUUCUUCUUGUAAUUGGAUAUAUCUUUGUCAGUUAAAAACAAGACUUUUGGAAUUGGAAGUGUCAGAGCUUCUAUGUGCUUCUGUAUCCUGAAUUGUUGGCAUUAGAGGCAAUUAGGCUCUACUAUUUCUCUUGAUAAAUCAUAAUGCAAAUU